Molecule: non-coding RNA, 425 nt
Organism: Camelina sativa (false flax)
Lineage: Eukaryota; Viridiplantae; Streptophyta; Magnoliopsida; Brassicales; Brassicaceae
Source: RefSeq, a predicted model, not a curated record
CCUAGGAAACUGACUAGUCUCUCAAUAUAAAGCUGAGAUCAAAGCCCUCUCUCCUUGGGUCCUUCGAUUUUAACCUCCUCUCCUGUCAGUUCUCUCUUCCUGAUCCCGCUGUAGUUAGCUCUUCCACUACCUUCGAUUUCAAGAUGCGCCCACCAAUCAACAUUGGUGGUCGUUCGUAUGGACAAUCAUCGAGUUCUCAAGCCGCUGGUUUUCAAAGAACUUUGCCUCCUAGAAUUUUGAAUCCCCCAGCUCCAAUCGUUGAACCAGUUGAGCAGAUGGAAGAAAAUUUACCUGUGCAACGUGAUGUUCGAGUGCUUGAUCCGACUCGAAGAAAUGGAGCUAAAUGGUUCAAAAACAACACCGAAGUAUCAACUCGUGUUAGGAAAAUCAUUGAAGGGAAUUUCAAAGGAGCGUGGUAUAGCUGG